CAAAGAUUAAGCCAUGCAUGUCUAAGUAUAAACAAAUUUAUACCGUGAAACUGCGAAUGGCUCAUUAAAUCAGUUAUAAUUUAUUUGAUAUUCACUUACUACUUGGAUAACCGUGGUAAUUCUAGAGCUAAUACAUGCGUACAUAACCUCGACUUCUGGAAGAGGUGCACUUAUUAGAUAAAAAGCCAACGCGGGCAACCGCUUGUAUGGUGAUUCAUAAUAAUUAAUCGAAUCGCAUGGCCUUGUGCCGGCGAUGAUGCAUUCAAAUUUCUGCCCUAUCAAGUUUCGAUGGUAGGUUAGUGGCCUACCAUGCUUUUAACGGGUAACGGGGAAUUAGGGUUCGAUUCCGGAGAGGGAGCCUGAGAAACGGCUACCACAUCCAAGGAAGGCAGCAGGCGCGCAAAUUACCCAAUCCCGACACGGGGAGGUAGUGACAAUAAAUAACAAUACAGGGCCUUUACGGGUCUUGUAAUUGGAAUGAGUACAAUUUAAAUCCCUUAACGAGGAACAAUUGGAGGGCAAGUCUGGUGCCAGCAGCCGCGGUAAUUCCAGCUCCAAUAGCGUAUAUUAAAGUUGUUGCAGUUAAAAAGCUCGUAGUUGAAUUUUGGCCUUGGUUUGUGAGGUUCGGCCUUCACUGGUCGGUACCUUUACGAACCGGGCUCCACCUUCUGGGUUAGCCAGUUGUUACUUCGGUGCAGCUGGUGAACCAGAACUUUUACUUUGAAAAAAUUGGAGUGUUUAAAGCAGGCUUUCAAGCUUGAACAUAUUAGCAUGGAAUAAUGAAAUAGGACUUUGGCCUUAUUUCGUUGGUUUCUAAAGCCAAAGUAAUGAUGAAUAGGGAUAGUUGGGGACAUUAGUAUUCAAUUGUCAGAGGUGAAAUUCUUGGAUUUAUUGAAGACUAACUUCUGCGAAAGCAUUUGUCAAGGAUGUUUUCAUUAAUCAAGAACGAAAGUUAGGGGAUCGAAGACGAUCAGAUACCGUCGUAGUCUUAACCAUAAACUAUGCCGACUAAGGAUCGGAUGGUGUUAUAUUUUAUAUUGACCCAUUCGGCAUUUCAGCGAAAGCCAAGUUUUUGGGUUCCGGGGGGAGUAUGGUCGCAAGGCUGAAACUUAAAGG
RNAcentral lists this ribosomal RNA (1116 nucleotides) under Umbelopsis nana. RNAcentral's name for it is "SSU rRNA". It matches the Rfam family "Eukaryotic small subunit ribosomal RNA", at positions 38 to 1150 of the family's 1831-position model. Lineage: Eukaryota; Fungi; Mucoromycota; Umbelopsidomycetes; Umbelopsidales; Umbelopsidaceae. The record is from RNAcentral.